CGAACGCUGGCGGCGUGCUUACCACAUGCAAGUCGAACGGUGAAGCUCCAGCUUGCUGGAGUGGAUCAGUGGCGAACGGGUGAGUAACACGUGAGCAACCUGCCCCUGACUCUGGAAUAAGCGCUGGAAACGGCGUCUAAUACUGGAUACGAGAAGGGUCCGCAUGGGCACUUUCUGGAAAGUUUUUCGGUUGGGGAUGGGCUCGCGGCCUAUCAGCUUGUUGGUGAGGUAAUGGCUCACCAAGGCGACGACGGGUAGCCGGCCUGAGAGGGCGACCGGCCACACUGGGACUGAGACACGGCCCAGACUCCUACGGGAGGCAGCAGUGGGGAAUAUUGCACAAUGGGCGAAAGCCUGAUGCAGCGACGCCGCGUGAGGGAUGACGGCCUUCGGGUUGUAAACCUCUUUCAGCAGGGAAGAAGCGAAAGUGACGGUACCUGCAGAAGAAGCACCGGCUAACUACGUG
This 466-nucleotide ribosomal RNA is filed under the name uncultured bacterium. Its description in RNAcentral is "partial 16S ribosomal RNA". It matches the Rfam family "Bacterial small subunit ribosomal RNA", at positions 30 to 507 of the family's 1533-position model. The record is from RNAcentral.